RNAcentral lists this ribosomal RNA (468 nucleotides) under uncultured bacterium. Its description in RNAcentral is "partial 16S ribosomal RNA". It matches the Rfam family "Bacterial small subunit ribosomal RNA", at positions 28 to 507 of the family's 1533-position model. The record is from RNAcentral.
GACGAACGCUGGCGGCGUGCUUAACACAUGCAAGUCGAACGGAAAGGCCCUGCUUGUGUGGGGUGCUCGGGUGGCGAACGGGUGAGUAACACGUGAGUAACCUGCCCUUGACUUUGGUGUAACUUCAGGAAACUGGGGCUAAUACUGGAUAGGAGCUCCUGCUGCAUGGUGGGGGUUGGAAAGUUUGGGCGGUUGGGGAUGGACUCGCGGCGUAUCAGCUUGUUGGUGGGGUAGUGGCUUACCAAGGCUUUGACGGGUAGCCGGCCUGAGAGGGUGACCGGCCACAUUGGGACUGAGAUGCGGCCCGGAAUCCUACGGGAGUAAGCAGUGGGGAAUAUUGCACAAUGGGCGGAAGCCUGAGGCAGCAACGCCGCGUGCGGGAUGACGGCCCUCGGGUUGUAAGCCGCUUUCGCCUGUGACGAAGCGUGAGUGACGGUAAUGGGUAAAGAAGCACCGGCUAACUACGUG